Non-coding RNA from Phrynosoma platyrhinos (Desert horned lizard), 73 nucleotides. NCBI's taxonomy places the organism in Eukaryota, Metazoa, Chordata, Lepidosauria, Squamata, Phrynosomatidae. The record is from the annotation of a GenBank genome assembly.
GCCAGCAUAGUGUAGUGGUUUGAGUGUCAGACUGCAACUCUGAAGACCAGCAGGGUUCAACUCCCUGCUUGAC